CGUUAUUUUAGAUGGAAAUAAAUAUAUUAGUAGAAAUAUAAAGACUUUUCGUUACGUGACUGUAAAUAUCAACUAUAAGUGAGUUAUUUAAUAUCAUAUGCUGUAUUGUUUAAUACCAUUGACGCAAGCAUUGGUUAUCGAAAUGUGUAUAUUCGUUAGAAAUAAAUUUUAAUUCUCGAAUUUUCCAGGCGGCGUUUUGCUAAACGUUUACGUCACAUCGGAUUUAUGAAUGAGUCAAAUUGAUUAGAUACGUUACGUAUUAUUGUAUAUUGUAAAAUGAGCGAUAAGGAAAAUCCUAAAAAAUUGUUUACUCAGGAGUUUGACUUUACCAAUAGAGCAGGAGACAAUUGUGUCGGUAAUAACGAACAUUGAUAUUAUCGAUGUUAAAGCAGUGCCGUAUAUAGUUAAAACAUUCAAAGGUUACACGAUCUUAUGCUUUAAUAAUCAAAAACGAAAUGUAGGAUAUUAAUCACGUAUCUGAUCUAGAAUACUCAAUAGGUUAAUACAAAAAUUAUUAUGCUUUUUAUUUCGACCAAUUUCUGUUGCUUUACGUUUCACAGUUUAAAAUCGGGAGUUUGCUUUUAUUUCGUAAUUAAUUAAAUGAUUUAAAUUCGAUAAUAUUGAGUAAUAAUAACAAUAUAAUAUAAGCAAAAAUCAGUAAAAUCACACACACAAUUUCAUCUUUUUUAAAUUAUAUACCACAUAACUAUAAUUAAAAGACAAUUAAUAAAAAUUGGCGCAAAAUUUAAAUUAUAAAAACUCCAAUGAUUCGUUCAUAAAUAUAAUCGUUUGCUUUAAUUCUCGUAUAAAAUUGAUUAUAAUUGACAACAAAAAAAAGAGAAGAAUCUUACGUGUGAGAAAAUAAUUUCUAUAAACAAAACAAAAGGAGAGGGGAAUAAAGAAAAUGAGUAAAAUCCGGUGUGUAAGUUACGAGUAAUAUACGGAAAGUGGUCGACGGUGUGAACGCGGUCGAUCGGCUCAUACUUGUGACUCGUGGGUUCAACUCGGAUUCUUUCGGGUUGUUUCGGUAAUGUUCGACUCCCUCCAGCUUGGUGAUCUCGUCAGCCGGCGGCGUCAGUCGUUGCCGCGACAUCGCGUCGUGUACAUUGUUGUUGAUAUUAGUUUUGAAUAACGAUCGACUCUCUGAUUGCAUGCUUUCGAUUCGAUCUUUUAAAUUUUAUAUAUUAUCUGAUUUUUUGAUAUUAUUCAUCAUUUUUAAAUGUACGUAAUUAUACGCGUCGAUUUAAGAAAAAACAACAGUGAAGUGUGUACUUUUAAGUGAAGACAAAUCAUCGUUAAAAAGGAGUUUGACCGAUGACGCUAAAAGCUUAGCGUCUUUUUCGAUCUUUCUAUCCUUCUCUCUCCCUUUCUUCUGAGAUAUAAGGGAGAGAGAGACUUGAAGAGAAUUGGAUUGUAAAAGAUCGUUCGGUGAUGAAAUACUCGCUCGAGAAGAUAAAGAUUAUCAACAACAAAAUUUAGGCCGCGAUAACGAUGAUGAUACUUUGAACGUUUGAUAAUCACUUCCUCCUUACCUUCAUCUUUCUCGCUGUUUUUCGAAACGAAGAAAACGAAAAAUUUGUUUCGUGAGAGAGAAAGAGAAAGAGGGUGAAGGGGGAGGGGGAGGGGAGAGGCCGUAAAUUUAGAGUUGUACGGAAAAUGAAAUAGGGAAGGGGAUAAAUUUAACGUGAUUAAAAAUUGAA
Molecule: long non-coding RNA, 1700 nt
Filed under: Polistes fuscatus (common paper wasp)
Lineage: Eukaryota; Metazoa; Arthropoda; Insecta; Hymenoptera; Vespidae
Description: uncharacterized LOC122519969
Source: RNAcentral